This 253-nucleotide ribosomal RNA is filed under the name uncultured bacterium. RNAcentral's name for it is "partial 16S ribosomal RNA". It matches the Rfam family "Bacterial small subunit ribosomal RNA", at positions 524 to 776 of the family's 1533-position model. The record is from RNAcentral.
GACGAACCGUGCAAACGUUGUUCGGAAUCACUGGGCUUAAAGGGCGCGUAGGCGGGUUCGCAAGUCUGUGGUGAAAGCCUCCAGCUUAACUGGAGAAGUGCCGUGGAUACUGCGAAUCUUGAGGAGGGUAGGGGCAUCUGGAACGCUGGGUGGAGCGGUGAAAUGCGUUGAUAUCCAGCGGAACUCCGGUGGCGAAGGCGAGGUGCUGGACCCUUUCUGACGCUGAGGCGCGAAAGCCAGGGGAGCAAACGGG